AUUGAACGCUGGCGGCAGGCCUAACACAUGCAAGUCGAACGAGUGGCGGACGGGUUAGUAAUGUAUGGGACACUGCCUGAUGGAGGGGGAUAACUACUGGAAACGGUAGCUAAUACCGCAUACCAGCGGAUGUGCCGAAAUGGGAUUAGCUAGUAGGUGGGGUAAAGGCUAACCUAGGCGACGAUCCCUAGCUGGUCUGAGAGGAGGACCAGCCACACUGGAACUGAGACACGGUCCAGACUCCUACGGGAGGCAGCAGUGGGGAAUAUUGCACAAUGGGCGCAAGCCUGAUGCAGCCAUGCCGCGUGUAUGAAGAAGGCCUUCGGGUUGUAAAGUACUUUCAGCGGGGAGGCGUUACCCGAAGAAGAAGCACCGGCUAACUCCGUGCCAGCAGCCGCGGUAAUUC
RNAcentral lists this ribosomal RNA (406 nucleotides) under uncultured bacterium. RNAcentral's name for it is "partial 16S ribosomal RNA". It matches the Rfam family "Bacterial small subunit ribosomal RNA", at positions 30 to 526 of the family's 1533-position model. The record is from RNAcentral.